CGGUCCGGGUAGGGACUGAGCGACGUGAGGCAUCGACCGCGGCCUAGUAGGCCGGGAUCGGGUCUUACAAAAACCCUUCAAGAUCUUAUUGACCUCUGAAACAGUAACGGUUUCAUCAUCUUCUUCCUAUUUGUCGUCCUCAUACCGACACAGUUCGUUCAAGCUAGGGAAGAAGAACCGGCCCAAUUUCAUACGACGCCAUAGACGCCAGCAUCCCAGCACCCUUCGGAUUCUUUUCCCCGACUAAUUCCUCUAGUCUGUUGAUUAGUCUUGUUAAACAUGAUUUCAACUAUCUCUUGUCAAGAAAAAUAUGACUGAAGAGAAAGUUAAGAAGACAAUGAAGAGAUCGGCAGAUUUGAUCGCCAUCAGAGAAGAGAAAGUUAAGGGGACAGAGAAGAGAUUGCCUGAUUUUGCGAGGAUCAGAGUAUCAAAGAAAGGAUUUAUAUUAGGUAAAAAUCAGGGAUUCGGAACGGUUGCAUGGGUCAGAUUGGAGCCGUAAAGAAGGGGGUUUAAUGAGAAAGAUUGGUGGAGACCGACGUUACAGAAGAGAAUCGGAAAUGGUGAUAAAUGUCUGCGUUUCUACGAUGGGUACGAAGCAGGUGAAGUUGAUGAGUCGCUUAGGGUUGAUAAUGUGUACAGAUUAGCCCACACGAAAGCCCGGUAACUUAGAAACUUGACUUGAUGCUUAAUGAAGAUGACGUGAAAAAACGGAGCCUCCCUAUUAGUUGAUUUUUUAAACCAACGUGGACACUCUCUAUGCGCAGCUUAUUUUCCUUUUAUUAUAGUUUAGAUCGGUCGCCGCCGCCUCAACCGAUUUCUGGAACAUUAAGUCAAACUACAGUACUUUUUUUUUCAUUUUACCACAUAUUACAAUCAUGAUAAAAUAAAGGAAAUAAUAGCUUCAUGAGUUGGUCUAGCGAUUACAGGUUUGAUUUGUUUUGGUGUUGUCCACAGUACUUCAGACUCAUUUAACGCUCUUGUAGUCUUAGUUUUUAAAGAGGCUAAUAUACACUAAUCAUUAUGUUAACUCUUCUAAUAUAGUGUGGUCGGUCACCAAAAUCUUUCAAUAUAAGUAAAAGUUAACUCUUCUAGGUUGCUCACAUGCAAAAUUUAGUUUCACUGAGGUGGAUUUCAUUCAAAACAGGUCCACUAAAAAAUACGGAAUCCCACAAAGCUGCUAGGCCUACCUCGAAAAAGGCAUACCUAACAACUGUACAAAUUACACAUGUGACAUGACAUUGUUGAUCAAACGCCUGAAGGAGAAGCACCCGCAUACCUGACCUCCAAAGAGAAACUUAGAGAGUGAAGAUUCACUUCACUAGGUUAAAUUUAUCGUAAGGUUUGAGCUCGCUUUCAACAAUUUAUGACCUCAUAUUAUCAUUGAAGUCUGAUCUUAGAUCUUCGGAGUCGUUUCCCAAACCCUCUUCAUUUUCAUUAGAAUUUGCAUUGUAUUUGUAACCCUAACCACUUUUGUAACCGUUCUAGAGUCACAAUUUCAAUAUAUUGAAAUAAUCUGGUCCAUAUGUCCCUAUAUCCUGAAGAUUAACCGCAUUCUAGGAGAAACCUAAAACUUUUCAUUUACUAGUCGCAUAAUCCGUUUCCCAGUGCACAACCCCAGAAAGAUCAACUCUAAACGGCUUGGUCUGUUUAACUUGUACCGAGAGGUGGUUUGAUUUUGAUCAACCCAGACAGCAUUAUGGUGAGCUAAUGAGAGUUUUUUUUCUGGUUGUAACACGUGGAGGAUUCCACGUAAGGAAUGGGAUCAACUGGAAAGGACAAGUUUUCUCAAAGAUGGCGGAACCACACUCAAAAAAAAGAAUGGAAGUACAUUAAGAAUGUCGUUGAAGCAGUAGCACGGCAGGGGACUGGGUGAACUGUGGAGAAAGGGCUCAGUUCAGAUGUGACAGAAGGCCUGGCCUUGGCGCCUUCAAGGAUUAUGCGAAAGCGGAUGGAUUCGAAUGUGUACCCAAACGGUAGCGUCUCUAAUUACAGGAACAAAUCGCAGAAGACCUCUAAUGGCUUGCUUGUCUCUUAGCUUCACGUUUCUUCUUUCAUUGUACCUUUUCUUUUUCUCUUUCUUUUUAAAAUGAUUGAUUCCUCCUCCUCUUACGAUUUUUUUUGCAGUGCACGUUUCAUU
Long non-coding RNA from Brassica napus (rape), 2137 nucleotides. RefSeq lists it as uncharacterized. The record is from RefSeq and is a predicted model, not a curated record. The transcript has 3 exons. NCBI's taxonomy places the organism in Eukaryota, Viridiplantae, Streptophyta, Magnoliopsida, Brassicales, Brassicaceae.